UUCACGGAGAGUUUGAUCCUGGCUCAGGACGAACGCUGGCGGCGUGCUUAACACAUGCAAGUCGAACGAUGAAGCCCUUCGGGG
This 84-nucleotide ribosomal RNA is filed under the name Streptomyces albidoflavus. RNAcentral's name for it is "partial 16S ribosomal RNA". It matches the Rfam family "Bacterial small subunit ribosomal RNA", at positions 1 to 85 of the family's 1533-position model. RNAcentral also lists the same sequence under 39 other names. Lineage: Bacteria; Bacillati; Actinomycetota; Actinomycetes; Kitasatosporales; Streptomycetaceae. The record is from RNAcentral.